Molecule: ribosomal RNA, 495 nt
Filed under: uncultured bacterium
Lineage: Bacteria
Description: partial 16S ribosomal RNA
Rfam family: Bacterial small subunit ribosomal RNA
Source: RNAcentral
GACGAACGCUGGCGGCGUGCCUAAUACAUGCAAGUAGAACGCUGAAGGAGGAGCUUGCUUCUCUGGAUGAGUUGCGAACGGGUGAGUAACGCGUAGGUAACCUGCCUGGUAGCGGGGGAUAACUAUUGGAAACGAUAGCUAAUACCGCAUAAUAGUAGAUGUUGCAUGACAUUUGCUUAAAAGGUGCAAUUGCAUCACUACCAGAUGGACCUGCGUUGUAUUAGCUAGUUGGUGGGGUAACGGCUCACCAAGGCGACGAUACAUAGCCGACCUGAGAGGGUGAUCGGCCACACUGGGACUGAGACACGGCCCAGACUCCUACGGGAGGCAGCAGUAGGGAAUCUUCGGCAAUGGACGGAAGUCUGACCGAGCAACGCCGCGUGAGGGAAGAAGGGUUUCGGAUCGUAAAGCUCUGUUGUAAGAGAAGAACGAGUGUGAGAGUGGAAAGUUCACACUGUGACGGUAUCUUACCAGAAAGGGACGGCUAACUACGUG